Molecule: non-coding RNA, 66 nt
Organism: Cordylochernes scorpioides
Lineage: Eukaryota; Metazoa; Arthropoda; Arachnida; Pseudoscorpiones; Chernetidae
Source: the annotation of a GenBank genome assembly
UGCAUCGGCCGGGAAUCGAAACCCCGCGUGGCAGGCGAGUAUUUUACCACUGAACACUACCGAUGC